This 447-nucleotide ribosomal RNA is filed under the name uncultured organism. RNAcentral describes it as "partial 16S ribosomal RNA". It matches the Rfam family "Bacterial small subunit ribosomal RNA", at positions 334 to 797 of the family's 1533-position model. The record is from RNAcentral.
CACUCCUGCGGGAGGCAGCAGUGGGGAAUAUUGGACAAUGGGCGCAAGCCUGAUCCAGCCAUGCCGCGUGAGUGAUGAAGGCCCUAGGGUUGUAAAGCUCUUUCACCGGUGAAGAUAAUGACGGUAACCGGAGAAGAAGCCCCGGCUAACUUCGUGCCAGCAGCCGCGGUAAUACGAAGGGGGCUAGCGUUGUUCGGAUUUACUGGGCGUAAAGCGCACGUAGGCGGACUAUUAAGUCAGGGGUGAAAUCCCGGGGCUCAACCCCGGAACUGCCUUUGAUACUGGUAGUCUUGAGUUCGAGAGAGGUGAGUGGAAUUCCGAGUGUAGAGGUGAAAUUCGUAGAUAUUCGGAGGAACACCAGUGGCGAAGGCGGCUCACUGGCUCGAUACUGACGCUGAGGUGCGAAAGCGUGGGGAGCAAACAGGAUUAGAAACCCCAGUAGUCCCA